ACGAACGCUGGCGGCAUGCCUAACACAUGCCGGUCGAACGAGACCUUCGGGUCUAGUGGCGCACGGGUGCGUAACGCGUGGGAACCUGCCCUUAGGUUCGGAAUAACUCCCCGAAAGGGGUGCUAAUACCGGAUAAUGUCUUCGGACCAAAGAUUUAUCGCCUUUGGAUGGGCCCGCGUUGGAUUAGCUAGUUGGUAGGGUAAAAGCCUACCAAGGCGACGAUCCAUAGCUGGUCUGAGAGGAUGAUCAGCCACACUGGGACUGAGACACGGCCCAGACUCCCACGGGAGGCAGCAGUGGGGAAUAUUGGACAAUGGGCGAAAGCCUGAUCCAGCAAUGCCGCGUGAGUGAUGAAGGCCUUAGGGUUGUAAAGCUCUUUUACCCGGGAUGAUAAUGACAGUACCGGGAGAAUAAGCUCCGGCUAACUCCGU
RNAcentral lists this ribosomal RNA (431 nucleotides) under uncultured bacterium. RNAcentral's name for it is "partial 16S ribosomal RNA". It matches the Rfam family "Bacterial small subunit ribosomal RNA", at positions 29 to 506 of the family's 1533-position model. The record is from RNAcentral.